AGAGUUUGAUCCUGGCUCAGGAUGAACGCUAGCGGCAGGCUUAACACAUGCAAGUCGAGGGGUAACAGGGGAGCUUGCUUCCGCUGACGACCGGCGCACGGGUGAGUAACGCGUAUGCAACCUGCCCUUUACUGGAGAAUAGCUCCGAGAAAUCGGGAUUAAUACUUCAUAAUAUCUUUUUGAGACAUCUCUUUUAGAUUAAAGCUCCGGCGGUAAAGGAUGGGCAUGCGUGCCAUUAGUUAGUUGGUGAGGUAACGGCUCACCAAGACUACGAUGGCUAGGGGGUCUUAAAGGAUGAUCCCCCACACUGGUACUGAGACACGGACCAGACUCCUACGGGAGGCAGCAGUGAGGAAUAUUGGGCAAUGGACGAAAGUCUGACCCAGCCAUGCCGCGUGCAGGAUGACUGCCCUAUGGGUUGUAAACUGCUUUUGUAUAGGAAGAAGAAAGCUUACGUGUAAGCUACUGACGGUACUAUACGAAUAAGCAUCGGCUAACUCCGUGCCAGCAGCCGCGGUAAUACGGAGGAUGCAGGCGUUAUCCGGAUUUAUUAGGUUUAAAGGGUGCGUAGGCGGGAUAAUAAGUCAGUGGUGAAAUCUUGCAGCUUAACUGUAAAAUUGUCAUUGAUACUGUUGUUCUUGAGUAUAGUUGAGGUGGGCGGAAUGUGUCAUGUAGCGGUGAAAUGCAUAGAUAUGACACAGAACACCGAUUGCGAAGGCAGCUCACUAAACUGUUACUGACGCUGAGGCACGAAAGCGUGGGGAGCGAACAGGAUUAGAUACCCUGGUAGUCCACGCCGUAAACUAUGAUUACUCGUUGUGUGCAAUACAUCGUACGCGACUGAGCGAAAGCAUUAAGUAAUCCACCUGGGGAGUACGUCGGCAACGAUGAAACUCAAAGGAAUUGACGGGGGCCCGCACAAGCGGAGGAACAUGUGGUUUAAUUCGAUGAUACGCGAGGAACCUUACCUGGGCUUAAAUGCAGAACGACCGACGCCGAAAGGUGUCUUCCCUUCGGGGCGAUUUGCGAGGUGCUGCAUGGUUGUCGUCAGCUCGUGCCGUGAGGUGUCGGGUUAAGUCCCAUAACGAGCGCAACCCUCAUUGUUAGUUGCCAGCGGGUAAUGCCGGGGACUCUAACAAAACUGCCGGUGUAAACCGUGAGGAAGGUGGGGAUGACGUCAAAUCAGCACGGCCCUUAUGUCCAGGGCUACACACGUGUUACAAUGGCUAGUACAAAGGGCAGCUAUCUGGCAACAGAAUGCUAAUCUCGAAAACUAGUCUCAGUUCGGGUCGAAGUCUGCAACUCGACUUCGUGAAGUUGGAUUCGCUAGUAAUCGCGCAUCAGCAACGGCGCGGUGAAUACGUUCCCGGGCCUUGUACACACCGCCCGUCAAGCCAUGGAAGCUUGGGGUACCUGAAGUCUGUAACCGUAAGGAGCGGCCUAGGGUAAAACAAGUGACUGGGGCUAAGUCGAAACAAGGUA
RNAcentral lists this ribosomal RNA (1482 nucleotides) under metagenome. RNAcentral's name for it is "bacterial SSU rRNA". It matches the Rfam family "Bacterial small subunit ribosomal RNA". The record is from RNAcentral.